GGCCGGUUUAGAAAUUACUUGUAUUUACUAAGUGCAUCGGGAAUUACAUGUAAUUCCUAAAUUUUAGUAAUUACAUGUAAUUCCUAAUUUCACCUAUUUACUGUAACAUAUACAUGUAUGCUUUCUGAGGGGAAACCAGGAACUAUCAGUUGCACUUAGUUGAUUAUUGGAUAUCAUGGUUAAUAAUCUUAACGAAAAAGGCAAACAUGAUUU
This 213-nucleotide long non-coding RNA is filed under the name Mytilus galloprovincialis (Mediterranean mussel). The record is from RNAcentral. Lineage: Eukaryota; Metazoa; Mollusca; Bivalvia; Mytilida; Mytilidae.